AUGGUCCAGGUGAAAGUAGGUGUCCCAGAGUCCAGAGGACAGAUCACAGUGACUCAGCCUGGAGCAGAGAGCUCUGCUGUGGGAGGAACUGUGAGCAUCAAGUGUACGACCAGUCAGAAUGUUUAUAACUCUAACCUUUUAGCCUGGUACCAACAGAAAGAUGGAGCAGUACCUAAACUGCUCAUUUACUCUGCUAGCAGUCGAGAAUCAGGGAUUCCAGCUCGUUUUACAGGCAGUGGAUCAAACUCUGACUUCACUCUGACCAUCAGUGGAGUCCAGGCUGAAGAUGCAGCAGUUUAUUACUGUCAGAGUUAUCACUACAUCAACAGUCAAGCUGUGUUCACACAGUGA
Non-coding RNA from Pelmatolapia mariae (spotted tilapia), 351 nucleotides. The record is from the annotation of a RefSeq genome assembly. Lineage: Eukaryota; Metazoa; Chordata; Actinopteri; Cichliformes; Cichlidae.